This is an RNA transcript of Trifolium pratense (red clover), 3062 nucleotides long. It is a transcript of the gene named cleavage and polyadenylation specificity factor subunit 3-I-like, with no coding region annotated. Lineage: Eukaryota; Viridiplantae; Streptophyta; Magnoliopsida; Fabales; Fabaceae. The transcript is spliced from 4 exons. The record is from RefSeq and is a predicted model, not a curated record.
GGGUUAUAGGAAACCCUAAAAUAAUGCUACACUGGUGUUACACGCAUACACACAAAGUGCCGCCACUCUCUUCUUCUUUCUUAAUUUCUUCUGCACAGCUCACCAUCGCAUACUUUUUCAUUGUUUUUUCUUGCAUCAUCUCUGAGACUGAAAUCCAUAUGUUUCCAAAUGCAACUUUAUUUCUUUUCUCCUUUGUCUUUUCUUCUCUCAAGUCUCUUAGGCCAGGGUGCAAAACCAAUUUUUCAAGGGGUUCAAGAUGCAAAAAAUACACUGUUUAAAACACUGAUUAGUACUCCAUUUUUGAGAUAGAACAAAUCGACUCUGUGUUCGCAGCAAAAUUCAUAGGUUUUUCAAUCAUAUAUCACCCAAAUCUCAAUCCCAAUUUCACAAUCCCUACUUCGCAAUCCCUACUUCGCAAUCCCUACUUCGCAUCCCUCUCUCUCUCAGCUUCUUCUUCUGAUUUUCCUUCGAUUCUGAAUUCUCACUCACUGAUUACGGAGAGUAGAGUCGAGGAACAGUUCAAUUGUUGAACUCAAUCUGGUAGUGCAGUGAGUGAAAGAGAGAAUCAAGAUUUGAUUCAGAAUGAGUUCAGUAAAGAAACGUGAAUUGAAUGGUGCGAGCAGCAACAAAGAUGAAGAUCAAUUGAUAGUAACACCAUUAGGUGCUGGUAACGAAGUUGGUCGUUCUUGUGUAUACAUGACCUAUAAAGGCAAAACCGUUUUGUUCGAUUGUGGUAUCCACCCCGGCUAUUCCGGCAUGGCGGCGCUGCCUUACUUUGACGAAAUCGAUCCUUCAACAGUCGACGUCCUUCUCAUAACUCAUUUCCACUUGGAUCAUGCUGCAUCACUUCCUUAUUUUCUUGAGAAAACCACUUUCAAAGGCCGAGUUUUCAUGACCUACGCAACAAAGGCCAUUUACAAGCUCCUCUUAUCUGAUUAUGUUAAAGUCAGCAAGGUUUCCAUCGAUGAUAUGCUUUACGAUGAACAAGAUAUUAACCGCUCCAUGGAUAAAAUUGAGGUUAUUGAUUUCCACCAAACAGUUGAAGUGAACGGUAUUAGAUUCUGGUGUUACACUGCAGGACAUGUCCUUGGUGCUGCUAUGUUUAUGGUUGACAUUGCAGGUGUUCGAGUGCUAUAUACAGGAGACUAUUCACGUGAGGAAGACCGACAUCUUCGAGCUGCAGAGACCCCACAGUUCUCCCCUGAUGUAUGCAUUAUAGAAUCAACCUAUGGCGUACAACACCAUCAGCCUCGGCACACCCGAGAAAAACGCUUUACUGAUGUUAUUCAUUCAACCAUUUCUCAAGGGGGGCGUGUGUUGAUUCCGGCCUAUGCCCUGGGUCGUGCGCAAGAGCUACUAUUGAUCCUUGAUGAGUAUUGGGCAAAUCAUCCGGAACUCCAUAAUAUACCCAUCUAUUAUGCUUCUCCACUUGCAAAAAAAUGUUUGACUGUUUAUGAGACUUACACUCUUUCGAUGAAUGACAGGAUUCAGAAUGCAAAGUCAAAUCCAUUUGUCUUUAAGCACAUAUCGGCUUUGAGUAGCAUUGAUAUUUUCAAAGAUGUAGGACCGUCUGUUGUGAUGGCAAGCCCCGGUGGACUUCAGAGUGGGUUGUCACGGCAAUUAUUUGAUAUGUGGUGCUCUGACAAGAAAAAUUCUUGUGUUAUACCUGGGUAUGUUGUUGAGGGGACACUGGCUAAAACUAUCCUCAAUGAACCAAAGGAAGUUACUCUGAUGAAUGGACUCUCUGCACCUCUCAACAUGCAGGUGCACUACAUUUCCUUUUCUGCUCAUGCUGACUCUGCUCAAACAAGUGCAUUCUUGGAAGAGCUCAAUCCGCCCAACAUCAUUCUUGUUCACGGGGCAGCUAAUGAGAUGGGAAGGCUCAAACAGAAGCUCAUGACUCAGUUUGCUGACCGUAACACUAAGAUCCUUACUCCAAAAAAUUGUCAAUCUGUCGAAAUGUAUUUCAAUUCACAGAAAAUGGCAAAAUCCAUUGGGAAGCUGGCUGAAAAAACACCGCUAGUGGGUGAAACCGUUAGUGGUUUGCUAGUUAAAAAAGGCUUCACAUAUCAAAUAAUGGCACCAGAUGAUCUCCAUGUCUUCUCACAGCUAUCAACGGUAAACGUCACACAGAGAAUUACCAUCCCUUAUUCAGGCGCCUUUAGUGUCAUACAGCAUAGACUCAAACAAAUAUAUGAGAGCGUGGAGGCGUCAGUCGAUGAAGAAUCUGGAGUUCCAACAUUGGUAGUUCAUGACCGUGUAACAGUAAAGCAUGAGUCUGAUAAGCAUAUCUCAUUGCAUUGGACGUCAGACCCCAUUAGUGACAUGGUAUCGGAUUCAGUUGUUGCUCUAGUUUUAAAUAUCAGCCGCGAUCUCCCAAAAGUAAUGGCUGAAACUGAUGCCGUAAAGAUUGAGGAAGAGAAUGAGAAGAAGACAGAGAAGGUUAUGCAUGCCCUCCUCAAUUCACUGUUUGGAAAUGUGAAGGUUGGAGAAAAUGGGAAGCUGAUAAUUAACAUUGAUGGCAAUGUGGCAGAACUCAACAAAGAAAGUGGUGAAGUUGAGAGUGAAAAUGAAGGCCUUAAAGAAAGAGUGAGAACGGCAUUCCGGCGUAUUCAAAGUUCCGUGAAGCCGAUUCCUCUCUCUGCGCCAUAGUUCUUCUCCCUAUACUAGCUCUCAUACUGCACUAACAUGUACGACAGUCAUCAUAACAUGUAGUUACUCGCCUGUGGGAGAAAAGUGAAAGAGGGAGAGAUGAUAGAACUUGACGGGAGAUGUUAACAAUAUCUUUGUCCAUUAUUUUGUAAUGUCUUGCCAGAUUAGUAAUAUUGAACUAAUGGUUUGAGUGUUUGACAGAUUAUUAGUAAUAGUAAUGGUUUAUACUUUAUAAUACUGGUUUGAUCUGAUUAGUCUAAUAGAUAUUUUGUAAUGUCUGGUUAGAUAUUACUAUGUGCUUCAUUUGGUGAUAUCGAAUGCAUAGAAAAGAUAAUGUUGGCUUUGUUGUACUGGGAAGCAUUACAUGACAAAACAAUAUGAUAACAAGAAUGCAUGUUGAUGAUGCAAAA